AGGUGACUGUGGCCAGGAGUGGGCCUGGCUGUGUUGGUGUGAUGGGCUGGGGCAACAUGGCCAAGCAGGACACAGAGUCUUGCAUUGGAAAUUCAAGAUACACCGAUCAAGUUGCCAGGCCUGCGCCUCAUUGGCCACCAGCUGAAGUGACCGUGUGCUCUGGUUGGAUUUGGUAGAUGGGAUCUACCUGCAGCAGACUGCCCUCAUGCCAAACCUGUCUGGAUGGUCCAUGGUUGGUGAAAACAGAGACUUGGAGACUUUGCAUCACAAGGCGUGGAGUGCACUGACUGUUGCCAUGAAGUCUGGUUAUUCUGAAGACUUAAAGCCAUAUAUAUGAAGCAAGUUAGUACUAAAUUGACUACUGUACCUUUCAUUAGAUCUAUUAUCUACCUAGAGGCUAUUUUCACUUUCAAGUGGCAUUUGCUCCAUAAUAAGUAAUGUCUCAAAAUGCUGUUAAUUAAAGUUUCAUCUGUUUAGAGGAAUUUCUUCUUCUUCCCCCUUUCCUCUUUUCUUUUCAGAAGGUAGUAAUUAUUCCAAGAGUGUGGAGACAUUGUUACUGUAGCUCAUUAAAUAUGGCAAUGCUCACUUGGACCUUUGAGUGCUGGUGAUGUCAAGUUGACCUGAAAUGCAAGGAUUCCAUCUGUCAGGAAUUACUGAUGAAUUGGCAAUUAAAUAUAAAUAAAUAUAUAUAUAUAUAUAUUUAACUCA
RNAcentral lists this long non-coding RNA (708 nucleotides) under Cyanistes caeruleus (blue tit). RNAcentral describes it as "lncRNA (ENSCCEG00000001358.1)". The record is from RNAcentral. Lineage: Eukaryota; Metazoa; Chordata; Aves; Passeriformes; Paridae.